AUAACUAUUGGAAACGAUGGCUAAUACCGCAUAAUAGCUUCGGCUCAAAGAGGGGACCUUUUAGGCCUCUCGCGUCAGGAUAUGCCCAGGUGGGAUUAGCUAGUUGGUGAGGUAAGGGCUCACCAAGGCGACGAUCCCUAGCUGGUCUGAGAGGAUGAUCAGCCACACUGGAACUGAGACACGGUCCAGACUCCUACGGGAGGCAGCAGUGGGGAAUAUUGCACAAUGGGCGCAAGCCUGAUGCAGCCAUGCCGCGUGUAUGAAGAAGGCCUUCGGGUUGUAAAGUACUUUCAGCAGUGAGGAAGGCAGGUGUGUUAAUAGCGCAUUCGUUUGACGUUAGCUACAGAAGAAGCACCGGCUAACUCCGUGCCAGCAGCCGCGGUAAUACGGAGGGUGCGAGCGUUAAUCGGAAUUACUGGGCGUAAAGCGCAUGCAGGUGGUGUGUUAAGUCAGAUGUGAAAGCCCGGGGCUCAACCUCGGAAUAGCAUUUGAAACUGGCAGACUAGAGUACUGUAGAGGGGGGUAGAAUUUCAGGUGUAGCGGUGAAAUGCGUAGAGAUCUGAAGGAAUACCGGUGGCGAAGGCGGCCCCCUGGACAGACACUGACACUCAGAUG
Molecule: ribosomal RNA, 615 nt
Filed under: uncultured Vibrio sp.
Lineage: Bacteria; Pseudomonadati; Pseudomonadota; Gammaproteobacteria; Vibrionales; Vibrionaceae
Description: bacterial SSU rRNA
Rfam family: Bacterial small subunit ribosomal RNA
Source: RNAcentral